CCUACGGGAGGCAGCAGUGAGGAAUAUUGGUCAAUGGGCUUACGCCUGAACCAGCCAAGUCGCGUGAGGGAAGACUGCCCUAUGGGUUGUAAACCUCUUUUGUCAGGGAGCAACGCCGGCUACGUGUAGCCGGACUGAGAGUACCUGAAGAAAAAGCAUCGGCAAACCCCGUGCCAGCAGCCGCGGUAAUACGGAGGAUGCGAGCGUUAUCCGGAUUUAUUGGGUUUAAAGGGUGCGUAGGCGGAAUGCCAAGUCAGCGGGAAAAUCGCGGGGCUCAACCUCGCUCCGCCGUUGAAACUGGCGUUCUUGAGUGGGCGAGAAGUAUGCGGAAUGCGUGGUGUAGCGGUGAAAUGCAUAGAUAUCACGCAGAACUCCGAUUGCGAAGGCAGCAUACCGGCGCCCAACUGACGCUGAAGCACGAAAGCGUGGGUAUCGAACAGGAUUAGAUACCCGAGUAGUC
Molecule: ribosomal RNA, 460 nt
Filed under: uncultured bacterium
Lineage: Bacteria
Description: partial 16S ribosomal RNA
Rfam family: Bacterial small subunit ribosomal RNA
Source: RNAcentral